Molecule: ribosomal RNA, 450 nt
Filed under: uncultured bacterium
Lineage: Bacteria
Description: partial 16S ribosomal RNA
Rfam family: Bacterial small subunit ribosomal RNA
Source: RNAcentral
CCUACGGGGGGCUGCAGUAAGGAAUAUUGGUCAAUGGAGGAAACUCUGAACCAGCCAUCCCGCGUGAAGGAUGAAGGGGCUCUGCCUUGUAAACUUCUUUUGUCUGGGGCGAAAAAGCUCGAUUUAUCGAGAACUGACGGUACCAGAAGAAUAAGCACCGGCUAACUUCGUGCCAGCAGCCGCGGUACUACGGAGGGUGCAAGCGUUAUCCGGAAUAAAGGGGUUUAAGGGGUGCGUAGGCGGCAGAGUAGAAAGGCUGGGGCUUAACCAUGGAAUUGCCAUUGAGACUGCAGAGCUUGAGUGAGGUUGAGGUUGGCGGAAUGUGACAUGUAGCGGUGAAAUGCUUAGAUAUGUCAUGGAACACCGAUUGCGAAGGCAGCUGACUGGGCCUAUAUUGACGCUGAGGCACGAAAGCGUGGGGAGCGAACAGGAUUAGAUACCCCUGUAGUC